This 733-nucleotide ribosomal RNA is filed under the name uncultured Bacilli bacterium. Its description in RNAcentral is "bacterial SSU rRNA". It matches the Rfam family "Bacterial small subunit ribosomal RNA", at positions 62 to 776 of the family's 1533-position model. The record is from RNAcentral. Lineage: Bacteria; Bacillati; Bacillota; Bacilli.
UCGAACGAGAGCGACCGGUGCUUGCACUGGUCAAUCUAGUGGCGAACGGGUGAGUAACACGUGGGUAACCUGCCCAUCAGAGGGGGAUAACAUCCGGAAACGGAUGCUAAAACCGCAUAGGUCUUCGAGCCGCAUGGCUUGAAGAGGAAAAGAGGCGCAAGCUUCUGCUGAUGGAUGGACCCGCGGUGCAUUAGCUAGUUGGUGAGGUAACGGCUCACCAAGGCCGUGAUGCAUAGCCGACCUGAGAGGGUGAUCGGCCACAUUGGGACUGAGACACGGCCCAAACUCCUACGGGAGGCAGCAGUAGGGAAUCUUCGGCAAUGGACGAAAGUCUGACCGAGCAACGCCGCGUGAGUGAAGAAGGUUUUCGGAUCGUAAAACUCUGUUGUUAGAGAAGAACAAGGACGUUAGUAACUGAACGUCCCCUGACGGUAUCUAACCAGAAAGCCACGGCUAACUACGUGCCAGCAGCCGCGGUAAUACGUAGGUGGCAAGCGUUGUCCGGAUUUAUUGGGCGUAAAGCGAGCGCAGGCGGUUUCUUAAGUCUGAUGUGAAAGCCCCCGGCUCAACCGGGGAGGGUCAUUGGAAACUGGGAGACUUGAGUGCAGAAGAGGAGAGUGGAAUUCCAUGUGUAGCGGUGAAAUGCGUAGAUAUAUGGAGGAACACCAGUGGCGAAGGCGGCUCUCUGGUCUGUAACUGACGCUGAGGCUCGAAAGCGUGGGGAGCAAACAGG